This 481-nucleotide ribosomal RNA is filed under the name Cryptops pictus. RNAcentral describes it as "partial 16S ribosomal RNA". It matches the Rfam family "Bacterial large subunit ribosomal RNA", at positions 1830 to 2600 of the family's 2925-position model. The record is from RNAcentral. Lineage: Eukaryota; Metazoa; Arthropoda; Chilopoda; Scolopendromorpha; Cryptopidae.
GGCAUUAAGGGUAUUAUUUAAUGUCUGGCCUGCCCUAUGGCUUAAGCUAAAUGGCCGCAGUAUCUUGACUGUGUAAAGGUAGCAUAAUCAAUUGUCUAUUAAUUGUAGACUUGAAUGAAAGGCUGAACUUAGUUUUACUUUUUUAGUUAUUAUGAAUGAAUUUACGCUUUUUGUAAAAAUACAAAGAUGAAGAUAGGGGACGAGAAGACCCUAUUGAGCUUUAUAUUGAUGCCUAUGCUUUGUUGUAAAUGGAAGGUUUCAUGAGCUACUAUAUUUUACUGGGGCGGUAGAUUCGCAAAAAACGUAAUUUUUCUGGUCCAUAAAGCAUGAGUUUGGGAUUAAGUUACUGUAGGGAUAACAGCUUAAUUUUGUCUAAUAGUUCUUAUUGACGGCAACGUUUGUGACCUCGAUGUUGGUUUAAGGUGUCUACACAGAAGUAUAAAGUUUGUAAGAUGGUUUGUUCAACCAUUAAACCCUUAUG